Molecule: ribosomal RNA, 485 nt
Filed under: uncultured archaeon
Lineage: Archaea
Description: bacterial SSU rRNA
Rfam family: Archaeal small subunit ribosomal RNA
Source: RNAcentral
CCCUACGGCCGUUGCAGCAGGCGCGAAACCUUUACAAUGCACGAAAGUGUGAUAAGGGAAUCCUAAGUGCUCAUGCAUUGCAUGGGCUUUUGCUAAGGGUAAAAACCUUGGAGAAUAAGUGGUGGGUAAGACUGGUGCCAGCAGCCGCGGUAACACCAGCGCCACGAGUGGGAACCAUGAUUAUUUGGCCUAAAGCGUCCGUAGCUGGAUUUGUAAAUCUCUUGUGAAAUCGAACAGCUCAACUGUUCGGCGUGCAGGAGACACUGCAUAUCUUGAGACCGGGAGGGGUAAGGAGUAUUUCGGGGGAACCGGUAAAAUGGGAUAAUCCUCGGAGGACUACCUGUGGCGAAGACGCCUUACCAGAACGGAUCUGACAGUGAGGGACGAAGGCUAGGGGAGCGAACCGGAUUAGAUACCCGAGUAGUCCUAGCAGUAAACGCUGUGGGUUAGGUGUUGCACCAUCUACGUGAUUGUGCAGUGUCGAA